This 292-nucleotide ribosomal RNA is filed under the name uncultured bacterium. RNAcentral's name for it is "partial 16S ribosomal RNA". It matches the Rfam family "Bacterial small subunit ribosomal RNA", at positions 505 to 796 of the family's 1533-position model. The record is from RNAcentral.
GUGUCAGCAGCCGCGGUAAUACGGAGGGGGCUAGCGUUGUUCGGAUUUACUGGGCGUAAAGCGCGCGCAGGCGGACCGAUAAGUCAGAGGUGAAAUCUCCCGGCUCAACUGGGAGGGGCCCUUUGAUACUGUCGGUCUUGAGAUGCCUAGAGGAGAGUGGAAUUCCCGGUGUAGUGGUGGAAUGCGUAGAUAUCGGGAGGAACACCGGUGGCGAAAGCGGCUAUCUGGGGGCGAUCUGACGCUGAGGCGCGAAAGCGUGGGGAGCAAACCGGAUUAGAUACCCGCGUAGUCC